Zingiber officinale is the source of this 107-nucleotide small nucleolar RNA. The record is from RefSeq and is a predicted model, not a curated record. Lineage: Eukaryota; Viridiplantae; Streptophyta; Magnoliopsida; Zingiberales; Zingiberaceae.
AAUCCAUGAUAAGGCCAUAAUUUUAGCAUUUUAAAUCUAUCCCAAGCUUUAAAUAAAGAUUCCCCAUCAUUCUACCUGAAGCUUGCAAUUAGAUUUCUCAUAUGACU